RNAcentral lists this ribosomal RNA (340 nucleotides) under Spongospora sp. RNAcentral describes it as "SSU rRNA". The stretch from base 114 to 340 matches the Rfam family "Eukaryotic small subunit ribosomal RNA", at positions 735 to 955 of the family's 1831-position model. Lineage: Eukaryota; Endomyxa; Phytomyxea; Plasmodiophorida; Plasmodiophoridae. The record is from RNAcentral.
GACUUGUGCGCGCCCGCGUGUCUGCGGUCACUGCCCAAAAGGGCGGUGCGACGUGCGGUGCGGGCGGCGUCAAACCUUCAACUGGCUGGCGCCUGGGCUUUGUUGUCCGGACGCGCAGCUGGUUGAUCAUUUACUGUGAGAAAAUUAGAGUGUUCAAGGCAGGCAGCGUUUGCAAUUGAAUAUGUUAGCAUGGAAUAAUAAGAUAAGGCUUUCGGUCGAUAUUUUGUUGGUAGUUCACAAUCGAAAGUAAUGAUUGAUAGGGAUAGUUGGGGGUGCUAGUAUUCAACGGCCAGAGGUGAAAUUCAUGGAUUCGUUGAAGACUAACUUGUGCGAAAGCAUU